RNAcentral lists this ribosomal RNA (605 nucleotides) under Sporobolomyces roseus. Its description in RNAcentral is "eukaryotic LSU rRNA". The stretch from base 184 to 337 matches the Rfam family "5.8S ribosomal RNA". Lineage: Eukaryota; Fungi; Basidiomycota; Microbotryomycetes; Sporidiobolales; Sporidiobolaceae. The record is from RNAcentral.
UCCGUAGGGUGAACCUGCGGAAGGAUCAUUUGUGAAUAAAUAGGGUGUCCAAUUUUACUUGGAACCCGACCUUCUCACAUCUAACCCUGUGCAUCUGUAUUUUAUGGCGAGCAAUUUUCGAAUUGUGAGCCAUUUCACUUUAUAAACACUAGUCUAUGAAUGUAAAAUUUUUUUAACAAUAAAAACUUUCAACAACGGAUCUCUUGGCUCUCGCAUCGAUGAAGAACGCAGCGAAAUGCGAUACGUAAUGUGAAUUGCAGAAUUCAGUGAAUCAUCGAAUCUUUGAACGCAUCUUGCGCUCUCUGGUAUUCCGGAGAGCAUGUCUGUUUGAGUGUCAUGAAUUCUUCAACCCAACUGUUUCUUGUAAACAGCUGGUGUUUGGAUUCUGAGCGCUGCUGGCUUCGUGCCUAGCUCGUUCGUAAUACAUCAGCAUCCCUAAUACAAGUUUGGAUUGACUUGGCGUAAUAGACUAUUCGCUAAGGAUUCAAUGUUCUGCAUUGAGCCAACUUUGUUUAGGAAGCUUCUAAUUGAAAAGUCUACCUUUUGAUUUGAUCUCAAAUCAGGCAGGAUUUCCCGCUGAACUUUAGCAUAUCAAUAGCGGAGGA